Lolium rigidum is the source of this 1122-nucleotide long non-coding RNA. RefSeq lists it as uncharacterized. The record is from RefSeq and is a predicted model, not a curated record. The transcript is spliced from 3 exons. Lineage: Eukaryota; Viridiplantae; Streptophyta; Magnoliopsida; Poales; Poaceae.
UCAAUGCAUUCUCAAUCAACUGAUUGAUAGCAAGAGUAGUAUUGUAAAGCUCAAGCGCAGUAUCAGAUACUUUUGAUUAGAGGAAAACAGAAUGUUAGCAUCAUAUAUGCAGCCUGUGGGUACUCCUCCCUGAUUCUCUAUGUCACCAAUCCAGCACCAACAGAGUGGCACUCUUGGAAACUUGAAAACACAAGAUAUUGCAAAUUAUGCCUACUGUCCCAAGUCGUAAAUCCUCUGUCCCAACUGAAUUUUAUUGCAACACAUGAAAGUAGAUGUGACUUCACAUGCUAUAAGCUUAUAAUUGUAUCUGUGUCGAUUGAUAUAAAUUUGUUCAUCUCAGUCUUAUACUGUACAUAAUAGAGCGCAAAAAUCUGAGUUGUAUCUUCAGAAUCUGGUGGACUGCCGCUGUAAAUGUGAUUAUUUUGUACGUGUUUAUGACUUCUGCAUAGCUAUUUUAAGUAAUUGAGUGACUGCCCAAACAAGGUUGUUUCAUUGCAAGAGAAUUGUGCUACAGCUAAUCUUGACGCGGCAUGUUUUGCAGAUUGGAAGAUGGGAGCUUGCUAUCUGAACAGAGUACUUUUACCUCUCACUAUUAAGUUAUUCCUUUUUUCCUAUUCUGCUUUGGAAUAAUUGAGACAAUAUUUCAUCGUUUAUUUGGUGUUUUAUUGACUGAAGCUUGAUCUUCUCUUCUUAACUGCAAACAUGAUUUUAAAAUCAUAUUGAUACAGUAAAACAGUUCGAGCAUAUUGUGCUUUAAAUCUGUGGUGACAACUAACAGAGAUUACAUACUAAUUAUCGUUGACCUUUUCAACACACCCUUUUGUACAUUGUACUUACUUACCAUGUUAUAAGCCAUAUUUGGGUGAUAAUUGCUGAAACAUCGUUUCCUUGUAGAUACGAGAAUGGAUAUCGAAGAGUGAGACAACUUGCUGAUAAAAUGAUCAAGUUUUGCAAAGAAAAGGAAAAUAGGGAAUCAAAUAAUGGCUUAGCAUAUAUUUUGUGGAAGGUGAUCCGGGCUACAUAUCUUCAUCUUAUGAACAUGAAAUGUGUGGUCCUGAUGUUGAUAAGCUGGAUAAUGUCCUAUCAGAUGCAUCGAGAGCCUCCAACAUUGUUGCAUUGUUG